Molecule: ribosomal RNA, 465 nt
Filed under: Vreelandella stevensii
Lineage: Bacteria; Pseudomonadati; Pseudomonadota; Gammaproteobacteria; Oceanospirillales; Halomonadaceae
Description: partial 16S ribosomal RNA
Rfam family: Bacterial small subunit ribosomal RNA
Source: RNAcentral
CCUACGGGGGGCUGCAGUGGGGAAUAUUGGACAAUGGGGGCAACCCUGAUCCAGCCAUGCCGCGUGUGUGAAGAAGGCCCUCGGGUUGUAAAGCACUUUCAGUGAGGAAGAACGCCUGGUGGUUAAUACCCAUCAGGAAAGACAUCACUCACAGAAGAAGCACCGGCUAACUCCGUGCCAGCAGCCGCGGUAAUACGGAGGGUGCGAGCGUUAAUCGGAAUUACUGGGCGUAAAGCGCGCGUAGGUGGCUUGAUAAGCCGGUUGUGAAAGCCCCGGGCUCAACCUGGGAACGGCAUCCGGAACUGUCAAGCUAGAGUGCAGGAGAGGAAGGUAGAAUUCCCGGUGUAGCGGUGAAAUGCGUAGAGAUCGGGAGGAAUACCAGUGGUGAAGGCGGCCUUCUGGACUGACACUGACACUGAGGUGCGAAAGCGUGGGUAGCAAACAGGAUUAGAUACCCCUGUAGUC